CCUACGGGAGGCAGCAGUGAGGAAUAUUGGUCAAUGGACGAGAGUCUGAACCAGCCAAGUAGCGUGAAGGAUGACUGCCCUAUGGGUUGUAAACUUCUUUUAUAUGGGAAUAAAAUGUUCCACGUGUGGGUUUUUGUAUGUACCAUAUGAAUAAGGAUCGGCUAACUCCGUGCCAGCAGCCGCGGUAAUACGGAGGAUCCGAGCGUUAUCCGGAUUUAUUGGGUUUAAAGGGUGCGUAGGUGGAUUGUUAAGUCAGUUGUGAAAGUUUGCGGCUCAACCGUAAAAUUGCAGUUGAAACUGGCAGUCUUGAGUACAGUAGAGGUGGGCGGAAUGCGUGGUGUAGCGGUGAAAUGCUUAGAUAUCACGAAGAACUCCGAUUGCGAAGGCAGCUCACUAGACUGCAACUGACACUGAGGCUCGAAAGUGUGGGUAUCAAACAGGAUUAGAUACCCCAGUAGUC
RNAcentral lists this ribosomal RNA (460 nucleotides) under uncultured bacterium. Its description in RNAcentral is "partial 16S ribosomal RNA". It matches the Rfam family "Bacterial small subunit ribosomal RNA", at positions 338 to 795 of the family's 1533-position model. The record is from RNAcentral.